GGUAGAUGGUAUUAAGGUUAUAUCAAAGUACUUGACAUAAACUCGAACAUCCUCUGAAUCAAUAUCCACUAAAGCCACAGUGGCAAACUUGGACACCUCUCUCACAGAUUUAUACAGGAUGUCGUCAAGCUGGAGGCAAAGAGGAUCAGAGGAUCGGCCGAGACGGAGGACGAGGACUUUGUCGAUUGUGUCCCUUAUUAUAGAAUCUACUUCUUCCUUCUUCGUCAGCGUCCUCAAUAUAUAAUCCAUCUUCUCUCCCCGUCUUUUCUUCGAAUUACGGCCAAACGCUACCGGGAAAACUUUAUAAGUAUUUGCAUGCGAC
RNAcentral lists this unclassified non-coding RNA (322 nucleotides) under Hevea brasiliensis (rubber tree). Lineage: Eukaryota; Viridiplantae; Streptophyta; Magnoliopsida; Malpighiales; Euphorbiaceae. The record is from RNAcentral.